This 424-nucleotide ribosomal RNA is filed under the name uncultured bacterium. RNAcentral's name for it is "bacterial SSU rRNA". It matches the Rfam family "Bacterial small subunit ribosomal RNA", at positions 355 to 796 of the family's 1533-position model. The record is from RNAcentral.
UGGGGAAUUUUGCGCAAUGGGGGAAACCCUGACGCAGCAACGCCGCGUGGAGGAUGAAAUCCCUUGGGAUGUAAACUCCUUUCGAUAGGGAAGAUAAUGACGGUACCUAUAGAAGAAGCCCCGGCUAACUUCGUGCCAGCAGCCGCGGUAAUACGAGGGGGGCAAGCGUUGUUCGGAUUUAUUGGGCGUAAAGGGUGCGUAGGCGGUUUGGCAAGUCUUGUGUGAAAUCUUUGGGCUCAACCCAAAGUCUGCACAAGAAACUGCCGGGCUUGAGUAUGGGAGAGGUGAGUGGAAUUUCCGGUGUAGCGGUGAAAUGCGUAGAUAUCGGAAGGAACACCUGUGGCGAAAGCGGCUCACUGGACCAUUACUGACGCUGAGGCACGAAAGCUAGGGGAGCAAACAGGAUUAGAUACCCCCGUAGUCC